AUUGAACGCUGGCGGCAUGCCUUACACAUGCAAGUCGAACGGCAGCACGGGUGCUUGCACCUGGUGGCGAGUGGCGAACAGGUGAGUAAUACACCGGAACGUACCUUAUCGUGGGGGAUAAAGCAGCGAAAGCUGUGCUAAUACCGCAUACGCACUGAGGGGGAAAGCGGGGGAUGGCAAGACCUCGCGCGAUUAGAGGGGCCGAUGCCUGAUUAGCUUGUUGGUGAGGUAAUGGCUCACCAAGGCGACGAUCAGUAGCUGGUCUGAGAGGAUGAUCACCCACACUGGGACUGAGACACGGCCCAGACUCCUACGGGAGGCAGCAGUUGGGAAUUUUGGACAAUGGGCGCAAGCCUGAUCCAGCCAUGCCGCGUGCGGGAAGAAGGCCUUCGGGUUGUAAACCGCUUUUGUCAGGGAAGAAACGCUCUGGGCUAAUACCUCGGGGUAACGACGGUACCUGAAGAAUAAGCACCGGCUAACUACGUGCCAGCCGCCGCCGUAA
This 502-nucleotide ribosomal RNA is filed under the name uncultured bacterium. Its description in RNAcentral is "partial 16S ribosomal RNA". It matches the Rfam family "Bacterial small subunit ribosomal RNA", at positions 30 to 523 of the family's 1533-position model. The record is from RNAcentral.